AUGAAAAUUUUGAAAUUGUUACAAAAUGGUUCAGAUUUUAUGGUAGAUGAUAAUGAUCCAUUAUUGGCACUUCCCAAUCUCCGCAGGAUCAACCUAUCUGGUAAUUACAUUGUUGGUGACCAAUUUGUUAACUUUCUCCGCCAAUGCAAGCUUCUUGAGUCGUCGUACUCAAGGACCGGAUUAUACGCAAAUUUAGGAAUUCCAAAUAUGAUAGGAGUGAUAUAA
This is a non-coding RNA of Vicia faba (fava bean), 225 nucleotides long. The record is from the annotation of a GenBank genome assembly. NCBI's taxonomy places the organism in Eukaryota, Viridiplantae, Streptophyta, Magnoliopsida, Fabales, Fabaceae.